This 468-nucleotide ribosomal RNA is filed under the name uncultured bacterium. RNAcentral describes it as "partial 16S ribosomal RNA". It matches the Rfam family "Bacterial small subunit ribosomal RNA", at positions 28 to 507 of the family's 1533-position model. The record is from RNAcentral.
GACGAACGCUGGCGGCGUGCUUAACACAUGCAAGUCGAACGGAAAGGCCCUGCUUUUGUGGGGUGCUCGAGUGGCGAACGGGUGAGUAACACGUGAGUAACCUGCCCUUGACUUUGGGAUAACUUCAGGAAACUGGGGCUAAUACCGGAUAGGAGCUCCUGCUGCAUGGUGGGGGAUGGAAAGUUUCGGCGGUUGGGGAUGGACUCGCGGCUUAUCAGCUUGUUGGUGGGGUAGUGGCUUACCAAGGCUUUGACGGGUAGCCGGCCUGAGAGGGUGACCGGCCACAUUGGGACUGAGAUACGGCCCAGACUCCAACGGGAGGCAGCGGUGGGGAAUAUUGCACAAUGGGCGGAAGCCUGAUGCAGCAACGCCGCGUGCGGGAUGACGGCCUUCGGGUUGUAAACCGCUUUCGCCUGUGACGAAGCGUGAGUGACGGUAAUGGGUAAAGAAGCACCGGCUAACUACGUG